GACGAACGCUGGCGGCGCGCUUAACACAUGCAAGUCGAACGGAAAGGCCUGCUUUCCCUUGUGGAUUGCGGGUACUCGAGUGGCGAACGGGUGAGUAACACGUGAGUGAUCUGCCCCCAACUUGGGUAUAAGCCUGGGAAACUGGGUCUAAUUCCCGAUAGGACUGCAGGGUGGUGCCUGUGGUGGAAAACGAUUUUCUAGUGGUUGGGGAUGAGCUCGCGGCCUAUCAGCUUGUUGGUGGGGUAAUGGCCUACCAAGGCGGCGACGGGUAGCCGGCCUGAGAGGGUGGACGGCCACAUUGGGACUGGGAUACGGCCCAGACUCCUACGGGAGGCAGCAGUGGGGAAUAUUGCGCAAUGGGCGGAAGCCUGAUGCAGCGACGCCGCGUGGGGGAUGACGGCCUUCGGGUUGUAAACUCCUUUCGACCGCGAGGAAGCCACCUGGUUGGAAGGGUGGUGACGGUAGUGGUAGAAGAAGCACCGGCUAACUACGUG
RNAcentral lists this ribosomal RNA (494 nucleotides) under uncultured bacterium. RNAcentral's name for it is "partial 16S ribosomal RNA". It matches the Rfam family "Bacterial small subunit ribosomal RNA", at positions 28 to 507 of the family's 1533-position model. The record is from RNAcentral.